RNAcentral lists this ribosomal RNA (253 nucleotides) under uncultured bacterium. Its description in RNAcentral is "partial 16S ribosomal RNA". It matches the Rfam family "Bacterial small subunit ribosomal RNA", at positions 524 to 776 of the family's 1533-position model. The record is from RNAcentral.
UACGUAGGGGGCAAGCGUUGUCCGGAAUUAUUGGGCGUAAAGCGCGCGCAGGUGGUUUCUUAAGUCUGAUGUGAAAGCCCACGGCUCAACCGUGGAGGGUCAUUGGAAACUGGGGAACUUGAGUGCAGGAGAGAAGAGUGGAAUUCCACGUGUAGCGGUGAAAUGCGUAGGGAUGUGGAGGAACACCAGUGGCGAAGGCGACUCUUUGGCCUGUAACUGACACUGAGGCGCGAAAGCGUGGGGAGCAAACAGG